CAAGUCGCACGAAGAAAGUGGAGCAAUCCAUGAGUAAAGUGGCGCACGGGUGAGUAACACGUGACUAACCUACCCUCGAGUGGGGAAUAACCUAGGGAAACCUGGGCUAAUACCGCAUAACACUUACGAGUCAAAGCAGCAAUGCGCUUGGGGAGGGGGUCGCGGCAGAUUAGCUAGUUGGUGAGGUAAUGGCUCACCAAGGCGAUGAUCUGUAUCCGGCCUGAGAGGGCGCACGGACACACUGGAACUGAAACACGGUCCAGACUCCUACGGGAGGCAGCAGUGGGGAAUUUUGCGCAAUGGGGGAAACCCUGACGCAGCAACGCCGCGUGGAGGAUGAAAUCCCUUGGGAUGUAAACUCCUUUCGAUCGGGACGAUUAUGACGGUACCGGAAGAAGAAGCCCCGGCUAACUUCGUGCCAGCAGCCGCGGUAAUACGAGGGGGGCGAGCGUUGUUCGGAAUUAUUGGGCGUAAAGGGUGCGUAGGCGGUUUGAUAAGUCUGAUGUGAAAUCUAUGGGCUCAACCCAUAGUCUGCAUUAGAAACUGUCGGGCUUGAGUAUGGGAGAGGUGAGUGGAAUUUCCGGUGUAGCGGUGAAAUGCGUAGAUAUCGGAAGGAACACCUGUGGCGAAAGCGGCUCACUGGACCAUUACUGACGCUGAUGCACGAAAGCUAGGGGAGCAAACAGGAUUGGAUACCCUGGUAGUC
RNAcentral lists this ribosomal RNA (706 nucleotides) under uncultured Acidobacteriaceae bacterium. Its description in RNAcentral is "bacterial SSU rRNA". It matches the Rfam family "Bacterial small subunit ribosomal RNA", at positions 58 to 795 of the family's 1533-position model. Lineage: Bacteria; Pseudomonadati; Acidobacteriota; Terriglobia; Terriglobales; Acidobacteriaceae. The record is from RNAcentral.